Molecule: ribosomal RNA, 475 nt
Filed under: uncultured bacterium
Lineage: Bacteria
Description: bacterial SSU rRNA
Rfam family: Bacterial small subunit ribosomal RNA
Source: RNAcentral
GAUGAACGCUGGCGGCGUGCCUCAAACAUGCAAGUCGAGCGGGGCUAUGUAAUAUCGCAAGGUAGAACAUAGCCUAGCGGCGAACGGGUGAGUAACACGUGGGUAACCUGCCUGGAAGACAGGGUUAACGAUUCGAAAGGGUCGCUAAUACCUGAUAAUAUCCUUUCAUCGCAUGGUGAUAGGAAGAAAGGGGAAACCCGCUUUCAGAUGGGCCCGCGUCCCAUCAGCUAGUUGGUAAGGUAAAGGCUUACCAAGGCGACGACGGGUAGCCGGUCUGAGAGGAUGUACGGCCACACUGGGACUGAGAUACGGCCCAGACUCCUACGGGAGGCAGCAGUUGGGAAUCUUAGGCAAUGGACGAAAGUCUGACCUAGCGACGCCGCGUGAGGGAAGAAGGCCUUCGGGUUGUAAACCUCUGUCAUGGGGGAAGAAGGAAGUGACGGUACCCCAAGAGGAAGCCCCUGCUAACUACGUG